UAAUUGAAGAGGUUUGGAAAGACCCACCACAGAAGGUAAUAGUCCUGUAUGUUAAACGAGAAGACUUUAGAUAUGAUCCAGAGUACCACGGGACACGUGAAACCCUGUGGGAAGCAGGAGGGACCACCCUCCAAGGCUAAAUACUACCUAGUGACCGAUAGCGUAUAGUACCGUGAGGGAAAGGUGAAAAGAACCCCGGGAGGGGAGUGAAAUAGAACCUGAAACCCUGCACUUACAAGCUGUGGAAGCACAUUUCUUGUGUGACCGCGUACUUUUUGUAGAACGGGCCAACGAGUUACGUUAAGUAGCAAGGUUAAGCACUUAAGGUGUGGAGCCGUAGCGAAAGCGAGUUUUAACUGAGCGUUCAGUUACUUGACGUAGACCCGAAACCGGGCGACCUACCCAUGAGCAGGAUGAAGCGAAAGUAAAAUUUCGUGGAGGUCCGAACCCACGAGCGUUGAAAAGCUCGGGGAUGACUUGUGGGUAGCGGUGAAAUUCCAAUCGAGCCCGGAGAUAGCUGGUUCUCCCCGAAAUAGCUUUAGGGCUAGCCUCAAGGUGAGAGAUACGGAGGUAGAGCACUGAAUGUCCUAGGGGGUAUUGCACCUACCGAAGACUAUCAAACUCCGAAUGCCGUCAUCUUAUACUUGGGAGUCAGACUGUGGGUGAUAAGAUUCAUAGUCGAAAGGGCAACAGCCCAGAUCGUCAGCUAAGGUCCCUAAAUGUAAGUUAAGUGGUAAAGGAUGUGGGAUUGCACAGACAACCAGGAUGUUGGCUUAGAAGCAGCCACUCAUUCAAAGAGUGCGUAAUAGCUCACUGGUCGAGUGAUCCUGCGCCGAAGAUUUCCGGGGCUAAAACUUACUACCGAAGCUACGGCAUCAGUAAUGAUGGGUAGGGGAGCUUCCCAUACGGGUUGAAGCAUGACCGUAAGGACAUGUGGACAGUAUGGGAGUGAGAAUGUUGGCAUGAGUAGCGAGAUGUGGGUGAGAAUCCCACAGGCCGUAAACCCAAGGUUUCCAGGGGAAGGUUCGUCCGCCCUGGGUUAGUCGGGACCUAAGCUGAGGCCGAAAGGCGUAGGUGAUGGACAACAGGUUGAUAUUCCUGUACUACCGAUAACCGUUUGAGAGAAGGGAUGACACAGUAGGAUAAGCUAAGCACACUGUUGGUUAUGUGUGCCCAAGCAUUGAGGCAGUCAAAGUAGGCAAAUCCGCUUUGAUAAUGCUGGGAUGUGAUGGGGAGCGAAAUUUAGUAGCGAAGUAGCUGAUUUCACACUGUCAAGAAAAGUCUCUAUCGAGGUUAAAGGUACCCGUACCGCAAACCGACACAGGUGGGUGAGGAGAGUAUCCUAAGGCCAGCGAGAGAACUGUUGUUAAGGAACUCGGCAAAAUGACCCCGUAACUUAGGGAUAAGGGGUGCCACCAUUAGGUGGCCGCAGAGAAUAGGCCCAAGCGACUGUUUACCAAAAACAUAGGUUUCUGCUAAGUCGCAAGACGAUGUAUAGGAGCUGACGCCUGCCCGGUGCUGGAAGGUUAAGGGGAUCUGUUAGAG
Molecule: ribosomal RNA, 1545 nt
Filed under: Clostridioides difficile
Lineage: Bacteria; Bacillati; Bacillota; Clostridia; Peptostreptococcales; Peptostreptococcaceae
Description: partial 23S ribosomal RNA
Rfam family: Bacterial large subunit ribosomal RNA
Source: RNAcentral